RNAcentral lists this ribosomal RNA (396 nucleotides) under uncultured bacterium. RNAcentral's name for it is "bacterial SSU rRNA". It matches the Rfam family "Bacterial small subunit ribosomal RNA", at positions 355 to 766 of the family's 1533-position model. The record is from RNAcentral.
CUAAGAAUCUUGCGCAAUGGGCGAAAGCCUGACGCAGCAAUUCCGCGUGGGGGACGAAGGCCCUCGGGUCGUAAACCCCUUUUGCGAGGGAAGAAGUUCUGACGGUACCUCGCGAAUAAGACACGGCUAACUACGUGCCAGCAGCCGCGGUAAUACGUAGGUGUCGAGCGUUGUCCGGAUGUAUUGGGCGUAAAGAGCCCGCAGGCGGCUUGCCAAGUUCGAGGUGAAAUCUCCCGGCUCAACCGGGAGGGUGCCUCGAAAACUGGCAGGCUUGAGGCAGGGAGAGGGAUGUGGAAUUCCCGGUGUAGUGGUGAAAUGCGUAGAUAUCGGGAGGAACACCAGUGGCGAAGGCGGCAUCCUGGCCCUGUCCUGACGCUCAGGGGCGAAAGCGUGGGG